AAUCUAGAAACUUUUCAGAAAAGUGUCUUUGAAAAACCCCUAAACGGCGACCAGAAGAUUCAAGAAGGAGAAUCAAUCCGGCGACGGUAGAGAAGUUAGGGUUGACGAAAGUGUUAAAAUGGCUAAUGAAAAAACAGGGCAUAAUGUUACAUUUGUUGAUGGAGCAAAAUUGAUGUGCUCCCAUGCUAACACGCUCCAGGAUCAUAAUGGCUAAAGUAUGUUGUGAAGAUGUGAGUGCUCCCAUGCUAACACGCUCUGCGAUCAAGUAAUGGCUGAAGCGGUUGCAUACAACGUGGCGAAUAUGUUUAAUAUUUAAAACGCUCCAUGUAGAGAACAAUAUGUUUAUGACAAUUUUUUUUAUUUUAACCAUAUGUGGUUACGUGGUUAGGUUGGUUUUUGUUUUUAUGAUGGAAACUGGAUGUUUGGUUUA
Molecule: long non-coding RNA, 430 nt
Organism: Helianthus annuus (common sunflower)
Lineage: Eukaryota; Viridiplantae; Streptophyta; Magnoliopsida; Asterales; Asteraceae
Exons: 2
Source: RefSeq, a predicted model, not a curated record